UGGGGAAUAUUGCACAAUGGGCGCAAGCCUGAUGCAGCCAUGCCGCGUGUGUGAAGAAGGCCUCGGUUGUAAAGCACUUUCAGCGAGGAGGAAGGUGGUGAGCUUAAUACGCUCAUCAAUUGACGUUACUCGCAGAAGAAGCACCGGCUAACUCCGUGCCAGCAGCCGCGGUAAUACGGAGGGUGCAAGCGUUAAUCGGAAUUACUGGGCGUAAAGCGCAUGCAGGCGGUUUGUUAAGUCAGAUGUGAAAUCCCCCGGGCUCAACCUGGGAACUGCAUUUGAAACUGGCAAGCUAGAGUCUCGUAGAGGGGGGCUAGAAUUCCAGGUGUAGCGGUGAAAUGCGUAGAGAUCUGGAGGAAUACCGGUGGCGAAGGCGGCCCCCUGGANGAAGACUGACGCUCAGGUGCG
This 408-nucleotide ribosomal RNA is filed under the name uncultured bacterium. RNAcentral describes it as "partial 16S ribosomal RNA". It matches the Rfam family "Bacterial small subunit ribosomal RNA", at positions 355 to 755 of the family's 1533-position model. The record is from RNAcentral.